CCUACGGGAGGCAGCAGUGGGGAAUAUUGCACAAUGGGGGAAACCCUGAUGCAGCGACGCCGCGUGAGUGAAGAAGGAUUUCGGGAUGUAAAGCUCUAUCAGCAGGGAAGAAAAUGACGGUACCUGAAUAAGAAGCCACGGCUAACGACGUGACAGCAGCCGCGGGAAUACGUAGGGGGCAAGCGUUAUCCGGAUUGACUGGGGGUAAAGGGAGCGGAGACGGCAGCACAAGUCUGGAGUGAAAUGCCGGGGCUUAACCCCGGAACUGCUUUGGAAACUGUGCAGCUAGAGUGCAGGAGAGGUAAGUGGAAUUCCUAGUGUAGCGGUGCAAUGCGUAGAUAUUAGGAGGAACACCAGUGGCGAAGGCGGCUUACUGGACUGUACCUGACGUUGAGGCUCGAAAGCGUGGGGAGCAACCAGGAUUAGAUACCCCGGUAGUC
This 440-nucleotide ribosomal RNA is filed under the name uncultured bacterium. RNAcentral's name for it is "partial 16S ribosomal RNA". It matches the Rfam family "Bacterial small subunit ribosomal RNA", at positions 338 to 795 of the family's 1533-position model. The record is from RNAcentral.